UACGUAGGGCGCAAGCGUUAUCCGGAAUUAUUGGGCGUAAAGAGCUCGUAGGCGGUUUGUCGCGUCUGCCGUGAAAGUCCGGGGCUCAACUUCGGAUCUGCGGUGGGUACGGGCAGACUAGAGUGAUGUAGGGGAGACUGGAAUUCCUGGUGUAGCGGUGAAAUGCGUAGAUAUCAAGUGGAACACCAGUGGCGAAGGCGAGUCUCUGGACAUUUCCUGACGCUGAGGCACGAAAGCCAGGGGAGCAAACGGG
Molecule: ribosomal RNA, 253 nt
Filed under: uncultured bacterium
Lineage: Bacteria
Description: partial 16S ribosomal RNA
Rfam family: Bacterial small subunit ribosomal RNA
Source: RNAcentral